Molecule: ribosomal RNA, 1036 nt
Filed under: uncultured bacterium
Lineage: Bacteria
Description: bacterial SSU rRNA
Rfam family: Bacterial small subunit ribosomal RNA
Source: RNAcentral
AGAGUUUGAUCCUGGCUCAGGAUAAACGCUGGCGGCGUGCCUUACGCAUGCAAGUCGAACGAAGCCCCCGCUUCGGCGGGGUGACUGAGUGGCAAACGGCUGAGUAACGCGUAGGUGAUCUGUCCCGAGGAGGGGAACAACUCGUGGAAACGCGGGCCAAUGCCCCAUACGCCCAUCGGCUCGGACCGGUGGGGAAAGUUCCGGCGCCUUGGGAGGAGCCUGCGUCCGAUUAGCUGGUUGGUGGGGUAAUGGCCCACCAAGGCGACGAUCGGUAGCUAGUCUGAGAGGAUGAUCAGCCAGAUUGGGACUGAGACACGGCCCAAACUCCUACGGGAGGCAGCAGCGAGGAAUCUUGCGCAAUGGGCGAAAGCCUGACGCAGCAACGCCGCGUGGGUGAUGAAGGCCUUCGGGUUGUAAAACCCUUUUGCCGGGGAAGAACCAUGACGGUACCCGGCGAAUAAGCCACGGCUAACUACGUGCCAGCAGCCGCGGUAAGACGUAGGUGGCGAGCGUUAUCCGGAUUUACUGGGCGUAAAGGGUACGUAGGCGGCGCGGUCAGUCUGCCGUGAAAUCUCCCGGCUCAACCGGGAGCGGUCGGUGGAACCUGCCGCGCUGGAGGGGCGUAGAGGCAAGCGGAAUUCCUGGAGUAGUGGUGGAAUGCGUAGAUACCAGGAGGAACACCAGUGGCGAAAGCGGCUUGCCAGGCGCAUCCUGACGCUAAGGUACGAAAGCGUGGGUAGCGAACCGGAUUAGAUACCCGGGUAGUCCACGCCGUAAACGAUGGAUGCUAGUCGUGGGGGGUAUCGACCCCCUCCGUGACGAAGCUAACGCGAUAAGCAUCCCGCCUGGGGACUACGGCCGCAAGGCUAAAACUCAAAGGAAUUGACGGGUCCCCGCACAAGCGGCGGAGCGUGUGGUUUAAUUCGAUGAUAAGCGAAGAACCUUACCUGGGCUUGACAUGCGUCUGACAGCCCGUGAAAGCGGGUUUUCCUUCGGGACAGAUGCACAGAUGUUGCAUGGCUGUCGUCAGCUCGUG